AUUGAACGCUGGCGGCAUGCCUUACACAUGCAAGUCGAACGGUAACAGGUCUUCAGAUGCUGACGAGUGGCGAACGGGUGAGUAAUACAUCGGAACGUGCCCGAUCGUGGGGGAUAACGAGGCGAAAGCUUUGCUAAUACCGCAUACGAUCUACGGAUGAAAGCGGGGGAUCUUCGGACCUCGCGCGGACGGAGCGGCCGAUGGCAGAUUAGGUAGUUGGUGGGAUAAAAGCUUACCAAGCCGACGAUCUGUAGCUGGUCUGAGAGGAUGAUCAGCCACACUGGGACUGAGACACGGCCCAGACUCCUACGGGAGGCAGCAGUGGGGAAUUUUGGACAAUGGGCGAAAGCCUGAUCCAGCCAUGCCGCGUGCAGGAUGAAGGCCUUCGGGUUGUAAACUGCUUUUGUACGGAACGAAAAGUCUCUUUCUAAUAAAGAGGGGUCAUGACGGUACCGUAAGAAUAAGCACCGGCUAACUACGUG
This 482-nucleotide ribosomal RNA is filed under the name uncultured bacterium. Its description in RNAcentral is "partial 16S ribosomal RNA". It matches the Rfam family "Bacterial small subunit ribosomal RNA", at positions 30 to 507 of the family's 1533-position model. The record is from RNAcentral.